Molecule: ribosomal RNA, 254 nt
Filed under: uncultured bacterium
Lineage: Bacteria
Description: partial 16S ribosomal RNA
Rfam family: Bacterial small subunit ribosomal RNA
Source: RNAcentral
GACGAACCGUGCGAACGUUAUUCGGAAUCACUGGGCUUAAAGGGCGCGUAGACGGGCGACCGCGUCGAUGGCUGAAAGCCCCCGGCUCAACCGGGGAACGGGCCUCGAUACGGGUCGCCUCGAGUGGAGGAGGGGGACCUGGAACUGCCGGUGGAGCGGUGAAAUGCGUUGAGAUCGGCAGGAACGCCUGUGGCGAAAGCGAGGUCCUGGACUCUGACUGACGUUGAGGCGCGAAAGCCAGGGGAGCGAACGGG